CGGAUUGCAGGCUGCAACUCGCCUGCAUGAAGUCGGAAUUGCUAGUAAUCGCGGAUCAGCAUGCCGCGGUGAAUACGUUCCCGGGCCUUGUACACACCGCCCGUCACACCAUGAGAGCCGGUAACACCCGAAGUCAGUAGUCUAACCGCAAGGGGGACGCUGCCGAAGGUGGGGCUGGUGAUUGGGGUGAAGUCGUAACAAGGUAGC
Molecule: ribosomal RNA, 207 nt
Filed under: uncultured bacterium
Lineage: Bacteria
Description: partial 16S ribosomal RNA
Rfam family: Bacterial small subunit ribosomal RNA
Source: RNAcentral